CGCUGGCGGCGUGCUAAUCAUGCAAGUCGAACGAAACUUCUUACACCGAAUACUUGCAUUCACCGUAAGAAGUUGAGUGGCGGACGGGUGAGUAACACGUGGGUAACCUGCCUAAAAGAAGGGGAUAACACUUGGAAACAGGUGCUAAUACCGUAUAUCUCUAAGGAUCGCAUGAUUCUUAGAUGAAAGAUGGUUCUGCUAUCGCUUUUAGAUGGACCCGCGGCGUAUUAACUAGUUGGUGGGGUAACGGCCUACCAAGGUGAUGAUACGUAGCCGAACUGAGAGGUUGAUCGGCCACAUUGGGACUGAGACACGGCCCAAAUUCCUACGGGAGGCAGCAGUAGGGAGUCUUCCACAAUGGACGCAAGUCUGAUGGAGCAACGCCGCGUGAGUGAAGAAAGUCUUCGGAUCGUAAAACUCUGUUGUUAGAGAAGAACACGAGUGAGAGUAACUGUUCAUUCGAUGACGGUAUCUAACCAGCAAGUCACGGCUAACUACGUGCCAGCAGCCGCGGUAAUACGUAGGUGGCAAGCGUUGUCCGGAUUUAUUGGGCGUAAAGGGAACGCAGGCGGUCUUUUAAGUCUGAUGUGAAAGCCUUCGGCUUAACCGGAGUAGUGCAUUGGAAACUGGAAGACUUGAGUGCAGAAGAGGAGAGUGGAACUCCAUGUGUAGCGGUGAAAUGCGUAGAUAUAUGGAAGA
RNAcentral lists this ribosomal RNA (699 nucleotides) under uncultured Bacilli bacterium. RNAcentral describes it as "bacterial SSU rRNA". It matches the Rfam family "Bacterial small subunit ribosomal RNA", at positions 34 to 705 of the family's 1533-position model. The record is from RNAcentral. Lineage: Bacteria; Bacillati; Bacillota; Bacilli.